UACGUAAGAACAAGUGUUACUCUUCACGAAGAAUGAAGUCAGUCAAGAAUUUGUAGAAUUUGUAUGUCCAUAUCAAAGAGACGUGUAAUUGCAUGUCACACAGUACAGCUUCAUAAUCAUGAAUUUCAAUAACGUCUAUUUUAAAACUCAUCAAUAAAGAUGACUGUGAAUAGUUUGAAUGUAAGUUCUGCCCUCCCAUCACUAAUGAAAAAAGAAAUGGGAGAAAAAAAAGACCACUGUAAAACUCUAUGACAAGCGAAUAAAGCGGAGAUUUUAAAGCUAUUUCAGUUUCGAAUGUAAUCAAUUUCUAUAAUAGUUCCGCAAAUUCCAAAAGUUUCUGGUUUAGCCAAGGGCAAAGUUUUUGCAAAACACGUGCUGAAACUAACCAACCGGAAAGUAGGUCAAGUAAACAAUAUUUUCUGUCCGUCUAUACUCUGUUGGCAUCUCUAGUGUCUAACUCUGGGGACAAUGGCGUACAAGUGCCUACGCUUUCUCUAAAUUUGGAACUUUUAUUAAAAGAUUUAUUACUUUCGAUGAUAACAAAACAUGUUUCGAAUAGUUUUAAACAGCUCGGGAUCGUCUAAUUUUAGAAACAGCAUGUGGGAAGUAGACUACGCUAAACAAGUAUGAAAGCGGUACAAAUAAUCUAUGGAAGUUCUCUUUGAAUCUUACGAAUUCGUCCGGACAGCACCUAUUCUGUCUAAAGAGAAGACAUGUCUACCUUAGGCAAGUAACUACUCGUGGUGGAAGCAAUUUCACGCUUUUUCGAGGACUCAAACAAGUCUAAUAUUUUUGAUGUGAUUCAUGCGGAAGCCAUUAUUGGGGUCUUCAAUUUUGUUAUCUUGUGGGUUUGAGGGUUCAUAGAGCAUUCAGAAGACUGGAGUGCGCUGCCAUAGAAACCUUGGCAAUUAUUAUCUUGAAAACUAUUACCGUGAAAACAGUCUAGAUUUUAGGACAUUAUAAACUGAUAGAACGCUUCUAGAGGAUCACACCACAUCGAAAACAAGCGAAACAAAGCGGGCUUUAAAAACAAAAGCAAAAGAGAGAUAAGGCGUGAAUGGUAAGUAGACUAUAUAUAAAAUUUUUUUCGAAUGCAGCGAGGCAGUAAAUCAAAGCAAUAAAGCCCUCCCGGGUCGAAAGAAUGACAAGAAUAACAACUCGUCGCAUUUUCCUGACCUUGGAAUCAAGAAAUUUCUAAACAACGCAAAGUGACCUUGAUCAAGGAAGGGAGAUUAAGAUUAUUCUGGAAGCAAACGUGAAGAGCGUUGAUGCUCCCGGGACAAUGAUUGAAUCUCUACACUUGUGGGUUUACUAAUCACGCUAUUUGAAAGCUACCCUUGAAUUAAAAUUCGAUUAGUUCUUGGUGGCAGAUAUUUUGACAAUGGAUCCGCCGACAAGUGAAAUAUGGGCACAGAAUGUCACCACCGAGUCAUCCAACAUGUUAACCUCAUCCGGUCUCACAGCGACAAUCUUCAAAACCGUUUUUCUUGUUCUUAUCGCCGUGAUGAACAUUUUGGGGAAUACAAGUAUCUGUUUUAUUGUUCUUAAAGACAGACAACUACGAGCCUCAGUGCGGAAUUACGCCGUAGCAAGCCUGGCCUUGUCAGACUUACUCUCCGUUCAAAUUAUGACUUUCCAAAUUUUUACUUACUUUAACGUUGGUAAGAACCCUAUUAUGUGCACGCUUAUGGGCAGAAUAUUUGGCUGUCUUCUUUACAUCAGCAUUUUGCACUUAUUUACGUUAAGCCUGGACAGAUACAUAGCAAUAUUUUACCCAUUACGCUACAGAUUCAUGGUUACCCCGACAAGGACAGCUGUGAUUUUAUUAACGAUCUGGAUCAUCCCAGUUUUUUCUAUACUAAUCUUCCCUGCUGCGCUAGUGGAUCUCCGUGGCUAUGCCAGCUUCUAUGGAUGCAUGGACCAAGGUUCGAUAGAAAAAAUUGACAAAAAGGAUCGCUUCCAUAUGAGUGUGAACGUAAUUUUUCUUUUCUUUCUACCACUUCUUGUGAUGAUGUGGGCUUACUGUCGAAUUAGCAAAGUUGCUUGGUAUCAAGCCAACAGAGUUGGUGUUGCUGUGAUCUCGGCAGUCAGAGUGCCACAUGUUCGUGGUCUUCCCCGAACACGUGAUAGAAAAUGGGCCAAAACGCUAGCGAUUGUGAUUGGCGCAUUCCUGGGCUGCUAUCUUCCAAUUGUGGUGGCAUCUUUAGUGCAUAUUUUCGCUGGACAAACAACAGGUUGUUCCUUAGCACGGACUUUGGAAAUUUUAUUAUUUCUCACGUUUUCCAACACUGUUUUGAAUCCUCUGAUUUACUCUCUUCGGAACAAUGAAUACAGGAGAGCUUUCCAAAAGACAUUUAGAAGAUGCCACCGAGAGUCAAACAACAAUCAAGGUUUACGACUCAGUUACGUCAAACAAGAUCUUGAAAGCCUUACUGUGUCUAGUCACGUGACUUCAAACCACGCGAACACCUCGUGAUGUUUAGAGGAAGAUUUUAUCCACAACACUCAGUGUCAAAAUUAAAAAUUGUUUCUAUGAAACAGCUUAUUUUUUACGACACAUUUUACAAUGUUAUUUGAGCAUACCAUGUUCACUAAGCUGAGAAUAGACUAUUUUACAGCCUUCUCCUGAUUCAUUUUGUUUGUUUGAUCGUUCAAAACUUAAAAUUUUAUCUCGACAGAAGUGCAAAAAGGACUUGAGGUGGGUUGUUGAGGGGAAGUGGGGAGAAGGGGGGAGGGGGGGGGAAACAAACGCUUCGUCUUCAUCCACACCAGCCCCUCGUAAAACCAGCCUUGAUCACUCCCAGAAGGAGGUGAGAGUUUUGGAACAAGUACUGCUCAUAGGCUGACGAAGAUUUCAAACAAUAGUUUGAUAACGAUCUUUAAACAACCUACACAGAAGGGCAGAGCGGUUCAUGCGUGGAAAGAAGAUUAACGAUGAUGACCUGUUGCCCCCUUACAGCAACGAAUGCCGGUCUUCAUGAUGCUACAGGUGCAGUUGUUGUAAUAGGAUUCCCGAGUGUAUUUCGCUGAAAAAGAAAAUGAUUUAGGAUGGUUGCAACCCCUGGCAAUUAUGAAUUGUGAUCACUUACCCUUUUUUUUGGUUAAGAUCUUUGAGGGUAAGGUGGUGGAAAUGGCUUAAGCCGGGGGAAAUAAUCCCGCUCCUUGUCUGAGUACCCGUACCCCAGGCACCUAUCUUUCAAUAAAUGCCUUCCUUGUUGUGACCGCGCGAGAAAUCUUUCAAUGUGACGUGGAAUAACAUAAAACUUCACUCAAGCUUACUGUAUCUUUUCCGCGCCUGGCGAAAAUUUGACUCGCAAUGUCCUCUGGGAAUGGCUUGUGGCUUCCAGGCCUCUUGAGACCCUUCGUCUUGCAAAUCCAAGCACGAUAAACCUAUUUGCAGAUUGACAAAUCUGAAGCAAUAAUGAAAGUUCGAGUUGCAGAUGAUCUUCCGAUUGUGCCCCUUGGCAGUAGUGAGAUACAGGGAAAGAUUUUAGUUUCCCUUGAAGACGGAGUGGGAUGUGCAAUGUACGAAUUUUACGCUCAAGCUGGCGACGAGGUCACGCUCAUCGCAUUUCACCGUAAUCACAAUCACAUAUACUACUGUGUUGAAGGGCGAUGUGUCAUACACGACGGUGCAACCAAACAGCUGCCUUUCACCGCUGACCAUCUCCUUGCUCUCACAACUGACAAAAACGUUCACAUUCGUAUUCAGGAGCCAAUGAGAAUAGUUGCUGUUUCCGUCCCACAUGACACAAGCGUAUCUCCCCCACCUUUGCUAAUGAAGAGCCUGGACGAAGUAACUGAUUCAGAUCGCAAUGUUCCCUUUGAAGAUGGAUUAAGUCGAAGGUUUCUUGCCGCCCCUGAUGGCUACAACAUCUCAGUUCACAACACGUUUUGUUCGAGUAGUUUUAGCAAGCAUCUCCAAUAUCUAAAUAACAAAGAAUUAGUCUAUGUUAUCAAAGGUCAAGGUGAAUACGUAUGGGAAAACGGGCAAUGUCGACACGAUUUUGACUCUGAAAAGCAUCAUGGGACUAUGUUUCUUGUAGGAAACAACGCCCACAAGAUGACAAUCGGCGCUAGAGAUACCAUUGCUAUCUGCCUGUUCUAUCCACCACUCAUGGGAAACGAACGGCUGAAAACUGGUAAAGAGGGUGGUUCCUCUUAUUAGCUCCAUGCUCUUUUCAUACCUGCUAGCUAGUGUAGGCCUCAAGGGUUGAUACGGUUUUAGCAACACACUUUUGUGAAACAUCUGUAUCAUAUUUGCCAUUAUUUAACUUUGAAAGUGAAAAUCGGGCUCUCGCGAAUUAUUCGGUAGGAUUUCGGUAAUUAUUUGAAGUUCCCUGGCAUUUUCCAAAUAUUUUUUAAAGGUUGCACAAUCACGCAAGUCUUUAGGAUGUCCUUGCUACAGGAAUUGGACCACGUAUAUGCUAAGGAAUGAGAAAGGUUUUCUGAUGCGUUUAUUUCGUAAAUUAACCUAUAGUUAAUCAUUAAUCAAGUGGUAGUGUUGCCUUGAAGUCUGUUGAAGGCGAAAUAAAAUUUCUAUACGAUUACCUUG
This is an unclassified non-coding RNA of Pocillopora damicornis (cauliflower coral), 4555 nucleotides long. NCBI's taxonomy places the organism in Eukaryota, Metazoa, Cnidaria, Anthozoa, Scleractinia, Pocilloporidae. The record is from RefSeq and is a predicted model, not a curated record.